UGGGGAAUUUUGGACAAUGGGCGAAAGCCUGAUCCAGCAAUGCCGCGUGUGUGAAGAAGGCCUUCGGGUUGUAAAGCACUUUUGUCCGGAAAGAAAUCCUUGGCUCUAAUACAGUCGGGGGAUGACGGUGCCGGAAGAAUAAGCACCGGCUAACUACGUGCCAGCAGCCGCGGUAAUACGUAGGGUGCAAGCGUUAAUCGGAAUUACUGGGCGUAAAGCGUGCGCAGGCGGUUUGCUAAGACCGAUGUGAAAUCCCGGGCUCAACCUGGGAACUGCAUUGGUGACUGGCAGGGCUAGAGUAUGGCAGAGGGGGGUAGAAUUCCACGUGUAGCAGUGAAAUGCGUAGAGAUGUGGAGGAAUACCGAUGGCGAAGGCAGCCCCCUGGGCCAAUACUGACGCUCAUGCACGAAAGCGUGGGGAGCAAACAGGAUUAGAUACCCUGGUAGUCCACGCCCUAAAGCGAUGUCAACUAGUUGUUGGGAUUCAUUUCCUUAGUAACGUAGCUAACGCGUGAAGUUGACCG
This 523-nucleotide ribosomal RNA is filed under the name uncultured bacterium. RNAcentral describes it as "partial 16S ribosomal RNA". It matches the Rfam family "Bacterial small subunit ribosomal RNA", at positions 355 to 871 of the family's 1533-position model. The record is from RNAcentral.